Molecule: ribosomal RNA, 484 nt
Filed under: uncultured bacterium
Lineage: Bacteria
Description: partial 16S ribosomal RNA
Rfam family: Bacterial small subunit ribosomal RNA
Source: RNAcentral
AUUGAACGCUGGCGGCAGGCCUAACACAUGCAAGUCGAGCGGAUGAAGGGAGCUUGCUCCUGGAUUCAGCGGCGGACGGGUGAGUAAUGCCUAGGAAUCUGCCGGGUAGUGGUGUAUAACGUCCGGAAACGGGCGCUAAUACCGCAUACGACCUGAGGGUGAAAGUGGGGGAUCUUCGGACAUCACGCUAUCAGAUGAGCCUAGGUCGGAUUAGCUAGUUGGUGGGGUAAAGGCCUACCAAGGCGACGAUCCGUAACUGGUCUGAGUGGAUGAUCAGUCACACUGGAACGGGGACACGGUCCAGACUCCUGCGGGAGGGAGCAGUGGGGAAUAGUGGACAAUGGGCGAAAGCCUGAUCCAGCCAUGCCGCGUGUGUGAAGAAGGUCUUCGGAGUGUAAAGCACUUUAAGUUGGGAUGAAGGGCAGUAAGUUGAUACCUUGCGGUUGUGACGGUACCGACAGAAUAAGCACCGGCUAACUUCGUG